AUUUUUCAUAAAUUUUAAUACAAAUAUAUAAUCUAUUGUACAACUGUGCACACAAUAAUACUGCCAUUCACAUUGUUACAUAAUCUAUGUGUUUGCAUGAUACUAUAAUGACAGGAAAUAUUUAGUAUUUUUUGUGUGACUUGAACAAUAAUUAGCGAGUCGCUAAAAGAAACAUACACACACACGCUAAAAGUCAUUCUUGAAGGUACAGUGCAGGGAGCACCAAAAAACGGUCGAUUCACAGAAAAGCGAGCCUAUCAAUGUACUACAAUGGACGGCCAAGUAUCCUGAUAUCCUGCUAAAAACAUCUGCUGCCUUGGAAAAGAGGAAUUUGGUCUACGCAAAACUGUCACAGCAGUCCAACGACGAUAAUUUAAGGGAAGAUGAUAUAAAAGAUAAUGAUGGUGAUGUUUAUGAAUGUUAUUACAAUAAGGUUUAUUAUAAGGCGCGUGGUGGCUGAGUGUUCAAGAGUAUAGCUUCCGAACCUGGGGUCUUGGAUUCGAAUCACGGUAAGGACUGGGACUUUGAAUUUCGGGAUUUU
This is a non-coding RNA of Biomphalaria pfeifferi, 541 nucleotides long. The record is from the annotation of a GenBank genome assembly. Lineage: Eukaryota; Metazoa; Mollusca; Gastropoda; Planorbidae.